Molecule: transfer RNA, 71 nt
Filed under: Schistosoma mansoni
Lineage: Eukaryota; Metazoa; Platyhelminthes; Trematoda; Strigeidida; Schistosomatidae
Source: RNAcentral
GCUUCGUGGUCUAGUGGUUAAACGCUCGCGUGCGAGACUCAUAGGUCCUGGGUUCGAAUCUCGCGAGGCGG